CGUGAUGUCAGCUAAACGAGAAAUGUUGACUGGAUACUUCAUUACAAUUUUUAUAUAUAUACAUAUAUAGCGUUUGUAGAAAUACAUAAAUCCGGAGCAGAAAUAUACACAACUCCCUCGCACAUUUUAAAGCUAAUACAAAUAUAAUUUCAUUACUUUGAUAUUUAAAAAGAAAAUAUAACGACAGCAAUUUACAUUUUGGGGCAGUUUUCAUUUUAUAUUAUAUAUACUAAGAUAUUUCUGAUAGUUUUCAAAGAUAAACUUUUUUUUUUGCUAUAGUAACAAAAGUUUUGCUUCUUUUUAAAUACUCAUUGUGGAACAUCACUGAUUUCAAUGGAAAGGACAUACCUAAUGUUGUCGAGAACCAAACAGAAACUCAUACAAAUUUUCAUUUGAAUUCAUUUAGAAUUUACAAAUGUAAUUUGCAAACUAAAGAAGCUUCCCAAUCUUGAGCAGAAUUUGUAUGAUGCAUGAUGGCUCAAGAAUGAGUGUCUUCACUGGCUCUUAUAUCCAUCAAGAAACAGAUACUUGUCCAUUUAGCACAACACAAAGAAUUAUACCAUAAGUAUUGAAGACCGAGAACAAAGUAUUGAAAGCCAAUCUCAAGACACUGAGCCUUACAAAUGAGAUGACAGGGGACCAAGAUAUCUGGUGCUUUGCUGUAUUCAAGAAGACCUGUCUGCCACAGCAGAAGUGAUACUGGUGCUGGUGACAUAAUAAGCACCCAGUACACACAGUAGAGUGGUUAGCAUCCAGCCAUAGAAACCAUGCCACAAUAGAUUGGUGUGGCCUUACCAGCUCCAGUCAAACCAUCCAACCCAUGCCAGCAUGGACAACGGACAUUAAAUGAUGAUGAUGAUGAUCUUACAAGAAUUUGCAAAAAAACUCAAAGUACUCAGAAUUUAUGUUUAAAAAAGUAAGUGUGUAUUUCUCCAAAAAAAAUGAACAUAUUUUAACUUUUUCAUUUUAUAGGGUAGUGUCUAUUCUAUACAAAUGCUUUGCUGAAUUUGCUAUAUGAAAGCCUUUAAAAUGAUAUUACAAUAGAAAUUCAUGGAGAAUAAAAGAUAAAAUAUUG
This is a long non-coding RNA of Octopus bimaculoides (California two-spot octopus), 1075 nucleotides long. The record is from RefSeq and is a predicted model, not a curated record. NCBI's taxonomy places the organism in Eukaryota, Metazoa, Mollusca, Cephalopoda, Octopoda, Octopodidae.